RNAcentral lists this ribosomal RNA (253 nucleotides) under uncultured bacterium. RNAcentral's name for it is "partial 16S ribosomal RNA". It matches the Rfam family "Bacterial small subunit ribosomal RNA", at positions 524 to 776 of the family's 1533-position model. The record is from RNAcentral.
CACGUAGGGCGCGAGCGUUGUCCGGAAUUAUUGGGCGUAAAGAGCUCGUAGGCGGCCUGUUGCGUCCGCUGUGAAAGCCCGGGGCUUAACCCCGGGUCGGCAGUGGAUACGGGCAGGCUAGAGGUAGGUAGGGGAGACUGGAAUUCCUGGUGUAGCGGUGAAAUGCGCAGAUAUCAGGAGGAACACCGAUGGCGAAGGCAGGUCUCUGGGCAUUAACUGACGCUGAGGAGCGAAAGCAUGGGGAGCGAACAGG